Non-coding RNA from Gossypium hirsutum (cotton), 142 nucleotides. The record is from Rfam. NCBI's taxonomy places the organism in Eukaryota, Viridiplantae, Streptophyta, Magnoliopsida, Malvales, Malvaceae.
CAUUAAAAAUUUUAUUCAUUUCUACUGUUAAAAACAUGCGUAACUAACAAAAUAGUUAAGUUAUACAUGACAUGCUAUGUGUAACCCAUUCUAAUAUAUGAGGACUAUUUUUUAACAGUAGAAAUGAAUAAUAUUUUUAACA